This 459-nucleotide long non-coding RNA is filed under the name Rattus norvegicus (Norway rat). RNAcentral describes it as "long non-coding RNA NONRATT005726". The record is from RNAcentral. Lineage: Eukaryota; Metazoa; Chordata; Mammalia; Rodentia; Muridae.
CGGACCAAUCACAUUUAUGUUUCAUCUGAUGACAUCAAGGAGACUGGUUAUACGUACAUUCUUCCCAAAAAUGUGCUGAAGAAGUUCAUCUGCAUAUCUGAUCUGCGCGCCCAAGUGAGUAACCAUGGCCCACACCUGGACCACAGUGUGAGCCCACUUAGUCUGUGCCUGAAAUUCACUUGAUAGUCCAAAAACUUUGAGGUGCUGACUUCAGAAUUCAUGGAUGAAUGAAUAACUUGAAAAAGACAGCACAAGCAAGAGGUAUCAAAACAUUUCAUAAAGCCAGGGCCAUUAAGAGGAAAUAUUACUGGGGUAGAAUUUAUUGCAGAGAGUAACAAAUGUAUUCAGACAUGUAUAUAGUUGACAUGGGGUUGGGAUUUAGCUCAGUGGUAGAGCACUUGCCUAGUAAGCGCAAGGCCCUGGGUUCAGUUCUCGGCUCCGAAAAAAAAAAAAAAAAAA